GCCCCACUCCCUGCUCUUCGGGGUGAUACUAGCAUUGGCGGCGUCAAUAUUUCCUAGGGAUACUGCAUGCUCAUUAAUUUGGUGUGUAGUGGAAUUAGGAGUUUUACCUUGAGAAAAUUAGAGUGUUCAAAGCAGGCAUUUGCUCGAAUACAUUAGCAUGGAAUAAUAGAAUAGGACUGGUGGUCUUAUUUUGUUGGUUUCUAGGACCGCAGUAAUGAUUAAUAGGGAUAGUUGGGA
This 237-nucleotide ribosomal RNA is filed under the name Glomeromycetes sp. Its description in RNAcentral is "partial small subunit ribosomal RNA". The stretch from base 91 to 237 matches the Rfam family "Eukaryotic small subunit ribosomal RNA", at positions 739 to 887 of the family's 1831-position model. The record is from RNAcentral. Lineage: Eukaryota; Fungi; Glomeromycota; Glomeromycetes.